CUACGGUCGCUGCAGUGGGGAAUAUUGCACAAUGGGCGCAAGCCUGAUGCAGCCAUGCCGCGUGUAUGAAGAAGGCCUUCGGGUUGUAAAGUACUUUCAGCGGGGAGGAAGGGAGUAAAGUUAAUACCUUUGCUCAUUGACGUUACCCGCAGAAGAAGCACCGGCUAACUCCGUGCCAGCAGCCGCGGUAAUACGGAGGGUGCAAGCGUUAAUCGGAAUUACUGGGCGUAAAGCGCACGCAGGCGGUUUGUUAAGUCAGAUGCGAAAUCCCCGGGCUCAACCUGGGAACUGCAUCUGAUACUGGCAAGCUUGAGUCUCGUAGAGGGGGGUAGAAUUACAGGUGUAGCGGUGAAAUGCGUAGAGAUCUGGAGGAAUACCGGUGGCGAAGGCGGCCCCCUGGACGAAGACUGACGCUCAGGUGCGAAAGCGUGGGGAGCAAACAGGAUUAGAUACCCCUGUAGUC
This 463-nucleotide ribosomal RNA is filed under the name uncultured bacterium. Its description in RNAcentral is "partial 16S ribosomal RNA". It matches the Rfam family "Bacterial small subunit ribosomal RNA", at positions 339 to 795 of the family's 1533-position model. The record is from RNAcentral.